RNAcentral lists this long non-coding RNA (656 nucleotides) under Volvox carteri. Its description in RNAcentral is "long non-coding RNA (VCAR_LNC002513)". Lineage: Eukaryota; Viridiplantae; Chlorophyta; Chlorophyceae; Chlamydomonadales; Volvocaceae. The record is from RNAcentral.
AUGGAUGCCGUAUGAUAGUGUUACAACUGCAAGCAGAAAUCGCAUCACCAGGGAUCCUUCUGGUAAAAUCACCUGUCUGCCUGUCUGCCGACACCCUCACAUACGUCCCCCCCAACGACUCCCACACCUACAUCAACAGAAUAUCGAUGUGCCUUUUUCAGCAUCCCGCGUGCUGCAACUGCAGUUGCUGCUGCUGCAGUUGCUGCUAAUUCAACUGCCGUUGCUGCCCGAAUCAACGCCUGCUCCACCUGCGCCUAGCCUACCGCAAAACCCUACGUAAAGCCCAAAAGCCCGUUGCUGCUGCUAAAGACAACUAUCUACAAAUUCACGGAGGAGAUGGAAAACAAUCUUCGAUAAGGAUCAACGUCGAACACUCUUUACGUAAGAAAAAAAAAUCAUAUCCCUCGUCCUCAUCCUCGUCCUCCGCCUCAACAACGUACGUGCUGUUGCCUUGCUCACUAAUUUUAGAUUGCCUUGACAAGGCGAAGGCGCAGCAGCUCCAAAUUCACGAUGCAUGGCGAGCGGCUUUUGACGCUCUUAUUGUGAUCUGAUGAUCAAAGCUUGUGAUGGACGAAUGGCAUGUGUGAUCGGUUGCGGAGCGCUUCGCAACCACCUUCUAGCUAAGCUAAGCCAUCCGUAAAAGUGCGAAGCGACCG